AACGAACGCUGGCGGCAUGCCUAACACAUGCAAGUCGAACGAGACCUUCGGGUCUAGUGGCGCACGGGUGCGUAACGCGUGGGAACCUGCCCUUAGGUUCGGAAUAACUCCCCGAAAGGGGUGCUAAUACCGGAUAAUGUCUUCGGACCAAAGAUUUAUCGCCUUUGGAUGGGCCCGCGUUGGAUUAGCUAGUUGGUAGGGUAAAGGCCUACCAAGGCGACGAUCCAUAGCUGGUCUGAGAGGAUGAUCAGCCACACUGGGACUGAGACACGGCCCAGACUCCUACGGGAGGCAGCAGUGGGGAAUAUUGGACAAUGGGCGAAAGCCUGAUCCAGCAAUGCCGCGUGAGUGAUGAAGGCCUUAGGGUUGUAAAGCUCUUUUAACCGGGAUGAUAAUGACAGUACCGGGAGAAUAAGCGCCGGCUAACUCCGUG
Molecule: ribosomal RNA, 433 nt
Filed under: uncultured bacterium
Lineage: Bacteria
Description: partial 16S ribosomal RNA
Rfam family: Bacterial small subunit ribosomal RNA
Source: RNAcentral